This 475-nucleotide ribosomal RNA is filed under the name uncultured marine eukaryote. Its description in RNAcentral is "SSU rRNA". It matches the Rfam family "Eukaryotic small subunit ribosomal RNA", at positions 614 to 1087 of the family's 1831-position model. The record is from RNAcentral.
UGCGGUUAAAACGCUCGUAGUUGGAGUUCUGCCAAAAGUGGCCGGUCUACCCUCCGUGGUGUGCACAGGGCAACCUUCGGCAUCAUCCUGGGAAACUUGUAUGCACUUUACUGUGUGACCUUGGGAUCCAGGACUUUUACUUUGAAGAAAUGAGAGUGUUUCAAGCAGGCGAAUGCCUUGAAUACGUUAGCAUGGAAUAAUAGCAUCGGACCUCUUCCCAACGCCGUUGGUUCAUUGGAGUGAGGUAAUGAUAAACAGGGAUAGCUGGGGGCAUUCGUAUUUAACUGUCAGAGGUGAAAUUCUUGGAUUUGUUAAAGACGAACUACUGCGAAAGCAUCUGCCAAGGAUGUUCUCAUUGAUCAAGAACGAAGGUUAGGGGGUCGAAGACGAUCAGAUACCGUUCCUUAGUCUUUAACCAUAAACUAUGCCGACUAGAGAUUGGGGGUAGUACAUUAUUUUGACCUCCUCCAGCAUC